AGCUAAUACUUGCUUUAGCACUCUUGAUUAAGUUCUUGAGUGUGUACUUGUUAAGCCUUUUAAGAAAAAAGUUAUUAACUUAAGGAAUUAUAACAAAGAAGUAACACGUAAAUGGAUUUUCCAUUUUUUAGUGUGUAUCAAUCGAGUUUCUGACCUAUCAGCUUUUGAUGUUAGGGUAUUGGCCUAACAUGGCUAUGACGGGUAACGGGGAAUUAGAGUUCGAUUCCGGAGAGGGAGCCUGAGAAAUAGCUACCACAUCUAAGGAAGGCAGCAGGCGCGUAAAUUACCCAAUUCUAAAGAAGAGAGGUAGUGACAAGAAAUAACAAUACAAGGCCAAUCUGGUUUUGUAAUUGGAAUGAUGGGAAUUUAAAUCCUUCCCAUAAUACAAUUGGAGGGCAAGUCUGGUGCCAGCAGCCGCGGUAAUUCCAGCUCCAAUAGCGUAUAUUAAAAUUGUUGCAGUUAAAACGCUCGUAGUUGAAUUUCAAAGAACCGAUAUUUUAAUAAUGCUGUUAGCUAGAGCCACAAAAAGUCAAGCCACUAUGGUUUCGGUUUUAUGUGCGCAUCUCUACCUAUCAAGUGUUUUUUUAAUUAAAGUGUUUCUUUUUAAAAUCUUCUUUAGCUUAAAACAUAUGGAAGAUUUUGUUACUUUGAGUAAAUUAAAGUGUUCAAAGCAAACAGAUAUAGCAUAAUGCGUUUUGAAUACUACAGCAUGGAAUAACAAAAUUGAACAAGUCAAAACUAUGUUUCUUUUUUUUUAUUUUUGGCUCAGUUACGAUUAAUAGGAGUAGUUUGGGGACAUUUGUAUUCAGAUGUCAGAGGUGAAAUUCUUAGAUUUUCUGGAGACAAACAACUGCGAAGGCAUUUGUCUAAAAUACUUCCAUUAAUCAAGAACGAAAGUUAAGGGAGUGAAGACGAUCAGAUACCGUCGUAAUCUUAACCAUAAACUAUGCCGACUAGGCUUUGGAUGAAAGAUUUUAAAAUAAGUGAUUUUCUCUUCGGAGUUAAUCUCUUAGAUUGCUUCCUUCAGUGCCUUAUGAGAAAUCAAAGUCUUUGGGUUCUGGGGCGAGUAUUCGCGCAAGCGAGAAAGUUAAAAGAAUUGACGGAAGGGCACCACCAGGCGUGGAGCUUGCGGCUUAAUUUGACUCAACACGGGAAAACUCACUAGUUUAAGACAAGAGUAGGAUUGACAGAUUAAUAGCUCUUUCUUGAUUUCUUGGAUGGUGAUGCAUGGCCGUUUUUAGUUCGUGAAUAUGAUUUGUCUGGUUAAUUCCGAUAACGAACGAGAUCUUAACCUGCUAAUUAGCGGCAAAUACGAUAUAUUCUUAUGUGGGACUGAAUACGGUUGAUUUGCUUAUUUUGAAGAAAAUAUUGGGAUGCGUAAAGUGUCCCUUUCCCUUUUCUACUUAAUUCGCUUAUCAUACUGUUUCUUUUUCGCGUAAGAAUGUAUUUGCUUGAUUGUAAAGCUUCCUAGAGGAACGAUGUGUGUCUAACACAGG
RNAcentral lists this ribosomal RNA (1496 nucleotides) under Plasmodium sp. Its description in RNAcentral is "SSU rRNA". It matches the Rfam family "Eukaryotic small subunit ribosomal RNA", at positions 162 to 1439 of the family's 1831-position model. Lineage: Eukaryota; Apicomplexa; Aconoidasida; Haemosporida; Plasmodiidae. The record is from RNAcentral.